This 468-nucleotide ribosomal RNA is filed under the name uncultured bacterium. RNAcentral describes it as "partial 16S ribosomal RNA". It matches the Rfam family "Bacterial small subunit ribosomal RNA", at positions 28 to 507 of the family's 1533-position model. The record is from RNAcentral.
GACGAACGCUGGCGGCGUGCUUAACACAUGCAAGUCGAACGGAAAGGCCCUGCUUUUGUGGGGUGCUCGAGUGGCGAACGGGUGAGUAACACGUGAGUAACCUGCCCUUGACUUUGGGAUAACUUCAGGAAACUGGGGCUAAUACCGGAUAGGAGCUCCUGCUGCAUGGUGGGGUUUGGAAAGUUUCGGCGGUUGGGGAUGGACUCGCGGCUUAUCAGCUUGUUGGUGGGGUAGUGGCUUACCAAGGCUUUGACGGGUAGCCGGCCUGGGAGGGUGACCGGCCACAUUGGGACUGAGAUACGGCCCAGACUCCUACGGGAGGCAGCAGUGGGGAAUAUUGCACAAUGGGCGGAAGCCUGAUGCAGCAACGCCGCGUGCGGGAUGACGGCCUUCGGGUUGUAAACCGCUUUCGCCUGUGACGAAGCGUGAGUGACGGUCAUGGGUAAAGAAGCACCGGCUAACUACGUG